RNAcentral lists this ribosomal RNA (387 nucleotides) under uncultured bacterium. RNAcentral's name for it is "bacterial SSU rRNA". It matches the Rfam family "Bacterial small subunit ribosomal RNA", at positions 30 to 416 of the family's 1533-position model. The record is from RNAcentral.
AUUGAACGCUGGCGGCAUGCCUUACACAUGCAAGUCGAACGGCAGCGCGGGGCAACCUGGCGGCGAGUGGCGAACGGGUGAGUAACAUAUCGGAACAUACCCUAGAGUGGGGGAUAACGUAGCGAAAGUUACGCUAAUACCGCAUACGCACUAAGGUGGAAAGUGGGGGAUUCGCAAGAACCUCAUGCUCAUGGAGUGGCCGAUAUCUGAUUAGCUAGUUGGUGAGGUAAAGGCUCACCAAGGCGACGAUCAGUAGCUGGUUUGAGAGAACGACCAGCCACACUGGAACUGAGACACGGUCCAGACUCCUACGGGAGGCAGCAGUGGGGAAUUAUGGACAAUGGGGGCGAACCCUGAUCCAGCAAUGCCGCGUGAGUGAAGAAGGCC